Molecule: long non-coding RNA, 513 nt
Organism: Lagopus muta (rock ptarmigan)
Lineage: Eukaryota; Metazoa; Chordata; Aves; Galliformes; Phasianidae
Exons: 3
Source: RefSeq, a predicted model, not a curated record
CUGUCCAUUACCAUCAGUGCUUCACGCCCAGACAGUGCUUUGGGUUUCCCAGAGCUGCCCUGUUCCUCCUCCACUCGAUGUACUGGAGACAUCGUCACAAACGUGUCAGAUAACUGAGGAGACUUUAACAAACCUGGGUCUGAUGAAGAUCCUGCAGAGCCGCACUGUAAGCGCUCAUUUUGGGGAAGAUGUUGGCAGUUAUUCUGUGCAGUGCACGCUCUGCUGAUGGUAACCUCAAGCCUGAGGAACACCUACUACAGUACGACAGGAAGCAGAGAUGGUUCUGCUGGAGGUAUAGUCUCUUAUACCUUGCAUAUAAUGCCGCAGUCUUUCCAUGAGAAACUACUGUAGGAACCAGCAGCUCAUGGCAAGGCCAAGUGAGAGAAAAAUGGGGAUGCAGGAGGAGCAUUUGGCACACAGUUCUAACUCCCAACAUAGAACUUAGGAUGUCCUGAGGACAUUCCAGUCUUCCUUGUUCUAAGGAGGGAAGCUGAGACAGAGAAAUAGGAUGGC